RNAcentral lists this ribosomal RNA (666 nucleotides) under uncultured bacterium. RNAcentral describes it as "bacterial SSU rRNA". It matches the Rfam family "Bacterial small subunit ribosomal RNA", at positions 10 to 716 of the family's 1533-position model. The record is from RNAcentral.
AGUUGUAUCCUGGCUCAGGAUGAACGCUGGCGGUAUGCCUAACACAUGCAAGUCGUACGGGAGUUUUUAACUCAAGUGGCGGACGGGUGAGUAACACGUGAGUAUUUACCUUUAGGAGGGGGAUAACAAUUGGAAACGAUUGCUAAUACCCCAUAUGCUUUAGAGUGAAAAAGAUUUAUCUGCCUAAAGAAAAGCUCGCGGCUGAUUAGCUAGUUGGUAAGGUAAUGGCUUACCAAGGCGACGAUCAGUAUCUGGUUUGAGAGGACGAUCAGACACACUGGAACUGAGACACGGUCCAGACUCCUACGGGAGGCAGCAGUGGGGAAUUUUCCGCAAUGGGCGAAAGCCUGACGGAGCAAUACCGCGUGAGGGAAGACUGCCUAUGGGUUGUAAACCUCUUUUUUCAGGGAGGAAUAAAUGACGUGUACCUGAAGAAUAAGCAUCGGCUAACUCCGUGCCAGCAGCCGCGGUAAGACGGAGGAUGCAAGUGUUAUCCGGAAUCACUGGGCGUAAAGCGUCUGUAGGUUGUUGUUUAAGUCAACUGUUAAAUCUUGAGGCUCAACUUCAAAAUCGCAGUCGAAACUAUUCAACUAGAGUAUAGUAGGGGUAAAGGGAAUUUCCAGUGGAGCGGUGAAAUGCGUAGAUAUUGGAAAGAACACCGAUGGC